GGGGGGGGGGGGGGGGGGGGGGGGGGGGGGCGGGGCGGGCGGGGGGGCGCGGGGGGGGGGGGGUGCUCGAGUGGCGAACGGGUGAGUAACACGUGGGUGACCUGCCCUGGACUUUGGGAUAACUUCGGGAAACUGGGGCUAAUACCGGAUAGGAGCUCCUGCUGCAUGGUGGGGGUUGGAGAGUUUCGGCGGUUGGGGAGGGACUCGCGGCUUAUCAGAUUGGUGGGGGGGUAGUGGCUUACCAAGGCUUUGACGGGUAGCCGGCCUGAGAGGGUGACCGGCCACAUUGGGACUGAGAUACGGCCCAGACUCCUACGGGAGGCAGCAGUGGGGAAUAUUGCACAAUGGGCGGAAGCCUGAUGCAGCGACGCCGCGUGCGGGAUGACGGCCUUCGGGUUGUAAACCGCUUUCGCCUGUGACGAAGCGUGAGUGACGGUAAUGGGUAAAGAAGCACCGGCUAACUACGUG
Molecule: ribosomal RNA, 468 nt
Filed under: uncultured bacterium
Lineage: Bacteria
Description: partial 16S ribosomal RNA
Rfam family: Bacterial small subunit ribosomal RNA (bases 58-468)
Source: RNAcentral